GAUGAACACUGGCGGCGUGCCUAAUACAUGCAAGUCGAGCGAACGGACGAGAAGCUUGCUUCUCUGAUGUUAGCGGCGGACGGGUGAGUAACACGUGGAUAACCUACCUAUAAGACUGGGAUAACUUCGGGAAACCGGAGCUAAUACCGGAUAAUAUUUUGAACCGCAUGGUUCAAAAGUGAAAGACGGUCUUGCUGUCACUUAUAGAUGGAUCCGCGCUGCAUUAGCUAGUUGGUAAGGUAACGGCUUACCAAGGCAACGAUGCAUAGCCGACCUGAGAGGGUGAUCGGCCACACUGGAACUGAGACACGGUCCAGACUCCUACGGGAGGCAGCAGUAGGGAAUCUUCCGCAAUGGGCGAAAGCCUGACGGAGCAACGCCGCGUGAGUGAUGAAGGUCUUCGGAUCGUAAAACUCUGUUAUUAGGGAAGAACAUAUGUGUAAGUAACUGUGCACAUCUUGACGGUACCUAAUCAGAAAGCCACGGCUAACUACGUGCCAGCAGCCGCGGUAAUACGUAGGUGGCAAGCGUUAUCCGGAAUUAUUGGGCGUAAAGCGCGCGUAGGCGGUUUUUUAAGUCUGAUGUGAAAGCCCACGGCUCAACCGUGGAGGGUCAUUGGAAACUGGAAAACUUGAGUGCAGAAGAGGAAGGUGGAAUUCCAUGUGUAGCGGUGAAAUGCGCAGAGAUAUGGAGGAACACCAGUGGCGAAGGCGACUUUCUGGUCUGUAACUGACGCUGAUGUGCGAAAGCGUGGGGAUCAAACAGGAUUAGAUACCCUGGUAGUCCACGCCGUAAACGAUGAGUGCUAAGUGUUAGGGGGUUUCCGCCCCUUAGUGCUGCAGCUAACGCAUUAAGCACUCCGCCUGGGGAGUACGACCGCAAGGUUGAAACUCAAAGGAAUUGACGGGGACCCGCACAAGCGGUGGAGCAUGUGGUUUAAUUCGAAGCAACGCGAAGAACCUUACCAAAUCUUGACAUCCUUUGACAACUCUAGAGAUAGAGCCUUCCCCUUCGGGGGACAAAGUGACAGGUGGUGCAUGGUUGUCGUCAGCUCGUGUCGUGAGAUGUUGGGUUAAGUCCCGCAACGAGCGCAACCCUUAAGCUUAGUUGCCAUCAUUAAGUUGGGCACUCUAAGUUGACUGCCGGUGACAAACCGGAGGAAGGUGGGGAUGACGUCAAAUCAUCAUGCCCCUUAUGAUUUGGGCUACACACGUGCUACAAUGGACAAUACAAAGGGCAGCGAAACCGCGAGGUCAAGCAAAUCCCAUAAAGUUGUUCUCAGUUCGGAUUGUAGUCUGCAACUCGACUACAUGAAGCUGGAAUCGCUAGUAAUCGUAGAUCAGCAUGCUACGGUGAAUACGUUCCCGGGUCU
Molecule: ribosomal RNA, 1372 nt
Filed under: uncultured bacterium
Lineage: Bacteria
Description: bacterial SSU rRNA
Rfam family: Bacterial small subunit ribosomal RNA
Source: RNAcentral